AGACCACCAUGGUGACUUGCAAGCAACUCACUGUACUUAGGCACUGGACUACCUGAAUUUCUAAUUCAGUGAUGGAAGGCUGCUAGGUGUAGUCAAGUACUUGACUUGUCGGUGCGUGUGUCAAGAUGGGAUUGACCACUCCAGUUCAGGAGCUGUGUACAGUCGUGUUUCAAUUUAGUAAAAUCUUGGCCAGGAUAGUCCUAGUGAGGAGUCACAGGACUGUUUGAGUUGAGCACGAUU
RNAcentral lists this long non-coding RNA (240 nucleotides) under Elaeis guineensis (African oil palm). RNAcentral describes it as "long non-coding RNA (EGUI_LNC069226)". Lineage: Eukaryota; Viridiplantae; Streptophyta; Magnoliopsida; Arecales; Arecaceae. The record is from RNAcentral.